GACGUAGGGCGCGAGCGUUGUCCGGAUUUACUGGGCGUAAAGGGCGCGUAGGCGGUCAGCACAAGUCAGUUGUGAAAUCUCCGGGCUUAACUCGGAAAGGUCAACUGAUACUGUGCGACUAGAGUGCAGAAGGGGCAACUGGAAUUCUUGGUGUAGCGGUGAAAUGCGUAGAUAUCAAGAGGAACACCUGCGGCGAAGGCGGGUUGCUGGGCUGACACUGACGCUGAAGCGCGAAAGCCAGGGGAGCGAACGGG
This 254-nucleotide ribosomal RNA is filed under the name uncultured bacterium. Its description in RNAcentral is "partial 16S ribosomal RNA". It matches the Rfam family "Bacterial small subunit ribosomal RNA", at positions 524 to 776 of the family's 1533-position model. The record is from RNAcentral.